UACAGAGGUCCCGAGCGUUGUUCGGAUUCACUGGGCGUAAAGGGUGCGUAGGUGGUUGGGUAAGUUUGAUGUGAAAGCUCAGGGCUUAACCCUGAAAUGGCAUUGAAUACUACUUAACUGGAGGUUUGGAGGGGGGACUGGAAUUCUUGGUGUAGCAGUGAAAUGCGUAGAUAUCAAGAGGAACACCAGUGGCGAAGGCGAGUCCCUGGACAACACCUGACACUGAGGCACGAAGGUCAGGGGAGCAAACAGG
This 253-nucleotide ribosomal RNA is filed under the name uncultured bacterium. RNAcentral describes it as "partial 16S ribosomal RNA". It matches the Rfam family "Bacterial small subunit ribosomal RNA", at positions 524 to 776 of the family's 1533-position model. The record is from RNAcentral.